CAGAGGGAAGGAUAGAGAGAGGAGGACGAGGAGAGAAAAGCAGAGGUGGGGAGAGGGGAUGAAGACAAAGGGAGACCAUCCUAAGACCCCUGGCUCUCCACGUUCUGAACACAUGGAAGAUUGUGGACCUCCAUUCCCUCCAGCCAGACUCUUGGGCUCUUCCUCCUCCUCUUAGUAACCUGAGAGAUGCUGAGUGAGCUCCCCACCGGCCUGGGAGUAGGAAUGCUCUCCCCUGUGUUUAGAUUCUCCUCUGUGUUCAGAUGCUCCACUGCAUCCAAGAUGCUCCACUGCAGGUCCUGUCCACUUUGCUUUUUAAAUUCAUUAGGGAGCGUCCGUCUGUAUUCAUCUCUCCUCAAACACAAUGUAACCAGUAUUCGUCUCUCUUCAAACACAAUGUAACCGGUUGUCUUACCCUCAAGGUCUUGUUGCCACACCUACCCUCUACCGCAGGCUGUAUCCACUCCAAAGAUGGAAGAACCUGUUAAAAAUGAAAAUCAGCUCUUUUGUGGCACCUCCUAGGUGAUCAGCGUUACGGUGAAGUUGAAUAUCUCAUUCCCAGCCUCCAGCUGCCAAGUGGAUGACUGACAUCUUUGUGCUGAGCCCAUGGCUACAGGAGUAGCUGAUGCUCUGGGCGAAGAGUGGUGUGGUGGUUUGUAUGUGCUUGGCCCAGGGAAUGGCACUAUUAGGAGGUGUGGCCUUGUUGGAGGAAGCGUGUCACUGUGGGCAUAGGCUUUAAGACCCUUGUCCUAGCUUCUUUCUCCUGUUUGCCUUCAGAACAAGUUGAACUCUCAACUCCCCCUGUACCAUGCGUGCCUGGGUGCUGCCAUGCUUCCACCUUGAUGAUAAUGGACUGAACCUCUGAACCUGUAAGCCAGCCCCAAUUAAAUGUUGUUCUUACGGGCUGCAGAAAUGACUCAGUGGUUGGGGCACGGAUUGCUCUUCCAGAAGUCCUGAGUUCAAAUCCCAGCAACCACAUGGUAGCUUACAACCAUGAUGAUCUGAUGCCCUCUUCUGGUGUGUUUGAAGACAGCUACAGUGUACUUAUAUAUAAUAAAUAAAUAAAUCUAAAAAAAAAAA
Molecule: non-coding RNA, 1077 nt
Organism: Rattus norvegicus (Norway rat)
Lineage: Eukaryota; Metazoa; Chordata; Mammalia; Rodentia; Muridae
Source: RefSeq, a predicted model, not a curated record